GGUGAACGCUGGCGGUAGGCUUAACACAUGCAAGUCGAGGGGCAGCAUGGUCUUAGCUUGCUAAGACGGAUGGCGACCGGCGCACGGGUGCGUAACGCGUAUGCAACUUGCCUCACAGAGGGGGAUAACCCGGCGAAAGACGGCCUAAUACCGCGUACACUCAAUUGUGGGCAUCCGAGGUAGAGGAACUGAAAGUCGCUGUGAGAUAGGCAGGCGGUCCAUUUGCUUGUGGGUGAGGGAACGGCCCACCGAGGCGACGGUGGGUAGGGGAACGGAGAGGUUGACACCCCGGACUGGAACUGCGACCCGGACCAGACUGCUACGGCAGGGAGCAGUAAGGAAUAUUGGUCAAUGGACGCUGGCCUGACCCAGCCAAGUGGGGUGAAGGAUGACUGUCUUAUGGAUUCUAUUCUUCUUUUGUAGAAGAGUAAAGAGGUGACAGUGUGCCCCAGUGACGGUACCCUACGAAUAAGCACCGGCUAACUCCGUG
This 490-nucleotide ribosomal RNA is filed under the name uncultured bacterium. Its description in RNAcentral is "partial 16S ribosomal RNA". It matches the Rfam family "Bacterial small subunit ribosomal RNA", at positions 28 to 507 of the family's 1533-position model. The record is from RNAcentral.